GAAUAUGAGGAACAAAUAACUCAAACGUGAAUCAAAACCAUGUACCUAUUUUUGCUUAUUGAUAUUCUGAUUCCA
Molecule: small nucleolar RNA, 75 nt
Filed under: Arabidopsis thaliana x Arabidopsis arenosa
Lineage: Eukaryota; Viridiplantae; Streptophyta; Magnoliopsida; Brassicales; Brassicaceae
Description: snoR120
Rfam family: Small nucleolar RNA snoR120
Source: RNAcentral